UACGAACUGUGCAAACGUUAUUCGGAAUCACUGGGCUUAAAGGGUGCGUAGGCGGCUAUCUAAGCAGGGUGUGAAAGCCCCCGGCUCAACCGGGGAAUAGCGUUCUGAACUGGAUGGCUGGAGUGAGAUAGGGGUGUGUGGAACUUCCGGUGGAGCGGUGAAAUGUGUUGAUAUCGGAAGGAACGCCGGUGGCGAAAGCGACACACUGGGUCUCAACUGACGCUGAUGCGCGAAAGCUAGGGGAGCAAACAGG
This 253-nucleotide ribosomal RNA is filed under the name uncultured bacterium. RNAcentral describes it as "partial 16S ribosomal RNA". It matches the Rfam family "Bacterial small subunit ribosomal RNA", at positions 524 to 776 of the family's 1533-position model. The record is from RNAcentral.